AUGUUCGGGAUGCGGUUUUCU
This 21-nucleotide microRNA is filed under the name Schistosoma japonicum. RNAcentral describes it as "miRNA-3037". The record is from RNAcentral. Lineage: Eukaryota; Metazoa; Platyhelminthes; Trematoda; Strigeidida; Schistosomatidae.